GAUGAAGAACGUAGCGAAAUGCGAUAAGUAAUGCGAAUUGCAGAAUUCCAGUGAGUCAUCGAAUCUUUGAACGCACAUUGCGCCCGCCAGUAUUCUGGCGGGCAUGCCUGUUCGAGCGUCAUUUCAACCAUCAAGCCCCCGGCUUGUGUUGGGGACCUGCGGCUGCCGCAGGCCCUGAAAAGCAGUGGCGGGCUCGCUGUCACACCGAGCGUAGUAGCAUACAUCUCGCUCUGGGCGUGCUGCGGGUUCCGGCCGUUAAACCACCUUCAUAACCCAAGGUUGACCUCGGAUCAGGUAGGAAGACCCGCUGAACUUAAGCAUAUCAAUAAGCGGAGGA
This 337-nucleotide unclassified non-coding RNA is filed under the name soil metagenome. Its description in RNAcentral is "partial contains 5.8S ribosomal RNA, internal transcribed spacer 2, and large subunit ribosomal RNA". The stretch from base 1 to 121 matches the Rfam family "5.8S ribosomal RNA", at positions 35 to 154 of the family's 154-position model. The record is from RNAcentral.